This 6031-nucleotide long non-coding RNA is filed under the name Solanum tuberosum (potato). RNAcentral's name for it is "long non-coding RNA (STUB_LNC010264)". The record is from RNAcentral. Lineage: Eukaryota; Viridiplantae; Streptophyta; Magnoliopsida; Solanales; Solanaceae.
CAGAGUCGAGUACACCAAUGAUCACAUCUUGACCAAAACCAGAAGCAGGCCAUAGCCCAGAAGCAGGAUUGAGGUUAAGAAACUUAGAGGAAUGUGUUGUGUGAGCUUCAACAGGCCUAUCUUUAUAAGCUGAAAGGAAACCUGGUGACUUCUUGAGAGCUUCAAAUUCAUCUUUAGACAAAACAACAUUGAAGCCAUGAAGCACAUUGUCGUAAGAAUAAAGAAGCUUUGGAACUGGAUGGUAGCCAUUUUGUGUAGUGGGAGCUUCAAUCUUGAUGGUAUCAAUAAUGGAAGAAUGCCAGUUUUGGUGAGUAGCAAAUAUUUUAGGCAUAAAAGUCUUGUCCAAAUGGACAAUGUAAGUAGACCUCUCUGCUAAUAAUAAAGAAGGGCCAAAAAGAAACCAAGAAAAGAGAAGAAAAGGUACUCCUCUCAUAGUUUUUUCUCUACACUUUGUGUUUCCUACUAUAACAAAGCCUCCUUAUAAUAUACACCCUUAUGAAACAGCCAUUGUUGGUUAUCUGUCUUUUUCUAUAACAGAAGAAAAGAUUUUGUGAAGUAGAUAGUGCAAUUUGACCAAUCGGUUAGCUGUCAUUUUCCAAGACUUGUCUGUUGAGUCAGUGGAUCUGUGGAGACUUUUGCUAGUUGUGUGCUCACCUAUGUUGGUUGGACUAUUCAAACAUGCCGCUGUAUGUGUGUCGGAUCCUUCAAAAAUAAUGCUUUUUUGGAGGAUCCGACACAGGUGCAGCAACACUUUUAAAAAGUCCAAGCAACAUAGGUGUUAACUACAUUCAAAAAUUCAGCUGAAAUAGUUAGUUGGUAAACCUAUGAGAACCGUCCAUUAUCUUUUCUUCGUUUGAUCAGGACCAUACCAGUAAUACAACACAUCCGACCCAACUAAUUGGGUGAUUUGUUAUUAUUAGUGUUAAUUUAGGACUGAUUUGAGUUUAAAUAUUUUUUCACUAAUUUAGUUUUUUGAAAUUUAUUUGUAAUUGCACUUUCAAAAUUUGCAAAUUAGUUGAUUUCAUAACUUUUAAAUAAAAUUAAAAAGGAAGAAACUGAAGCUAAUAAAGCUAGAUGAAAAAUUCGUUGAGGAUGAAGAUUUUUUUUUUUAUUGUAGAUGGAAAACUCUUCAACAUCUAUCAAUGGAGAUUUUGGAGAAGAUGGGAAGUAGGUCUUUUAAUAAAGAAGAAAACUCAAAUUGAAUGUGCCACGUGACAUUUUUACAUUGGUUUGAGGGUGUAUUUUUACUCCUCCACAUGCCUAUCAAACGUGAGAACACAACUGUUGUGAAAAUGGGUCAAAAGUGUUUAUUUAUUGUGAUUUAAUUGAAUUUCCUUGGCUUCUUCAUGCAUUUACUUUUUUAUAUUUUGAAUUCUUUUAGUGAAAAUUCUGACAUGACCACUAUAGUUAAUACCGCAGAGGUGGGCAAACAUUGUUAUGUCAAGAACAUAGACAUAUCGCUACAUGUCAAAAGAAAUUUAAACACAAAAAAGAAUCAUUUUCCCAAAAGAUCGAGCUUAUUUCAUCUCAGUUCAAUCUUCUCGUGAACAAAACCUACUACUUAUGCUUGCUUGGUAACUUGAUGUACUCUAAAGAUAUGUGAUAUCAUGUUUCCAGUUUCUUCAACUCGAUUCAAAUCAAGUUGACAAACUUACAGGUGUCUAAUUUCCCUAAUUUAUUUUCUCUAAUUUGGUUGUGUUAAUUUCAGUUUAGAAUUAUACAACUCUUCUUCAAAUUUUAAGCGGGAUUUUAUUUUGUAAGAACAAAACACUUUAUGAAACUAUGCCUAAUUAAGUCCUUUUCGUUCCUUUUCCGAUUCCUAUUCCUAUUUGGAUUCCGAUUCAAACUAGAUUUAUAGUUACAUAUUUUCUUCAAUAUAAAUAUACACCUUGAUUUCACAUAUGAUUUGUCUCUCAAUUUUUAAUUUUCUUCUUACUUUCUCCAAUUAAAAGAACAGAUCCUCAUCCUGAUACAGAAGACAUCGUGAAUUGGAAUCUUGAUAUUACAUGGAUUUUUCUAAGCAUAGGCCAUACAAUAACAAUGACAUAAUUGGCCGUGAAGAACUACCACGAAUUUCAGCCAAAUCAGGCCAUCAAAGGCUGAGAGAGAGAUUAGAAUUAUACGAAUUCGUAGAACAAGAAGUUUCAGGAGAUGGCAACUGUCAAUUUCACUCAAUUUCGGAUCAAAUAUAUGGGAGUUGUGAGCAUCACAAAUUAGUAAGGGAACAAGUUGUUAAACAACUAAAAUUUUAUGGAGAGUUGUAUGAGGGGUUUGUUGCAGUGGAAGAGUAUGAUGAAUACUUAAAGAGAAUGAGCAAUUGUGGUGAAUGGGGUGAUAAUGUAACUCUGCAGGCUGCUGCAGAUUCAUAUGGGGUUAAGAUAUUUGUCAUUUUUAAGGACACCGACUACAUUGAGAUUCUUCCGCAAAGUGAUUGUAACCACAAGUCGAACAAGAUGAUUUAUUUGAGUUUUUGUGCUGAAUUGCAUUACAAUUCAAUGUAUCUACAAGGAGAGUAUUCAGCUGGAGAAACCUACUGGUGGGCAUAGAUACCGAAGAACCGAAUCAAAGUGAUUUUUUUUUUAAACAGAGCAACAAUUUCGAAACGUAUAUUGUAUUAAAUAUACGGUUUUGCCAAUUAUAGGCCUUCACUCUUUAUUUAUAUAUUAUUUUCGUAUGAUUUUUGUAGUUAUUAGCUCUUCUAUUAUUAUAAUUUAUUUAUUACAUGCAAUGCUUUUGUGCCAAAAAAAGAAGAAGAGAAGUUAUUGAAUUGAUUUUUUCAAUCGUUUUUAUUUAAUUUUCAGGUUUUAUACCAUGAAUAAAUCUGUUAUUGACAAGGCAAAAUUAUUCAUGAAGUUUCUGCAUAAUAUGCUCUAUCGAAUUUUCUUGAGACGUAUAAUCAUGAAUUUUCUGCAUCAAGAGGUAUUUAUAAAUAGAGCAUGUAUAACAUGGUGGAGAUAGGAUAUUCACCAAUGUUGUUAAUGGAUGUUUUAUUUAGUACGGACAAGUUAUGCAAAUAUCGGCAUUUUUCGUUUUUAGCUCAAUUUAUUUAAAUUACUUAAAAUGAUCCUUCAGACCUAUUUUUUCCAAAAUAAUUAUCAUCUUCUUUUCCUUUAUAAUUCGACGUAUCGCAACAAGUUUUCGUGGCAUUGAAAAUUAUCUGCAACCAAAAUAAAUAAAGGAAAAUGUGAUUUUUAUUGAUGAAUCUUGUGAGUACAAUCGUGUUGUUCUCUUGUUUUUUCUCUCCUAAACUUCUCCGUGAUUCGAGGGCUUCAAUACCGUAUUUCUCUAAUGUAGGAUUAUGUAGACCUCCUUGAGAUGUAUUUGAUCUCCGGGAAAGUCGGAAAACACUUGGUUGUUUCAAGGCAAAAUUAUGCAUCAAGUCUCUGCAUAAUAUGCUGUAUAGAAUUUUGUUGAGAUCGUAUAAUCAUGAAAAGCCAGCGGUAUGAAUGUUAUAACAGAUUAAUGAUCUCUAUCUUGAUGACUAGUGAAGUGAAAAUUCUGUUCUGUGGUAAAGUAAGUUUUCCCCCCUCUUCAAUCCAUAUGAUUAAAUGAAGCUAAUCGGUUUUCUGUUUUCGUGUAGCUCUGCUAGUCAUAAUUCUUUCGAAAUGUCUGGGAAUACACAGAAACUAAGGCAUCUUAGGCACUAUAAAUUUUCUAGUUUCCUCACUCUUUACAACAAGCGGAUUAGAAUUUUCAGUUGUUCUAGCAUUACAUCUUUUAUGCAGUCAUAGAUUUUGCCAUGAGUUCAUUAAGUGGAUAUACUACUUUAUCGUGAUAUCGCCAACAGAUAUCUAAUGAGUUGAAUUCAACAUCUGCUUAUUUUAGUUCUUGUAGCAAAAAAAUGUUAGACAGAAAUAAAGUCAUGCUUUAUUGACAACUCAAAUGCAACAGUUCCAAUUUCAACAGUACUCUCUUGGAGAGUUACAAACUUAGAAAUGCAACAGUUUUGCCAACUGCAGCAUUUCAGGUCCAGGCAUCAAGCGCUGGAGCAACUACUAUAGGACUUCUUACGGUGUGAUGACCGUUCUCUUCAACCCAAGUGAUUGAACCAGAUUGUGCUUGGUCAUCUGCAAUGCCUUUGUAACGUAUGGUAAGAGUGUAGUCCUGCUUCUGAUUUUUCUUCUCAAACACUAAGGUUUGUGGAGAGAUGGAAAUUGUCGAGCUUUUUGGUGCUAUCACUUUUGCUACAUACUUAGCUGCACCGGCUCCAACAUUUGUGACUGUCCGCCUGAAUUUCUUCUCCAACCUAGAGUAUUUCCCAAUUGGGCUAAAGAGAGCAAUAAAUGAUGGGUAAUUGAUAUCAUCAGAUGGAUUUGAACAGUUGUGUUUAGCUGAUGAUCUAGCAAUUGUAUUGAAUUGCUCUAGUGUAAAAUUCAUGGAGCAGAGAAGAUUCACAUAGUCUUGUGGAGUGGCAUCAUAUAUCAGGCCUGGAUCAACUGCACGGUUUGGAUCAACAAGUCCGGCUCCCAUAGCUAAUGAUGUAGUAUUGCUGUUACCAUCCUCGGUUUUGAUGGGGUUUUUAGUAUUAUCCAAAUGGUUGGCAGUGGUCAUCAUGGCAGAUCGAAUAGCUGAAGGACUCCAAUCAGGAUGUGCUCCUUUAAGCAUUGCAGCGAUUCCAGCAAUGUGAGGAGCAGCCAUGGAAGUACCUGAUACAAGACGGUAAUCACUACCCAAAAAUGUAUUGACACCAAUAACUGUAUCUGAAUUGUUUGAUGGCCAGGCUGCUAGAAUUAACUCUCCUGGUGCCAUAAUAUCUGGCUUUGCUACUUGCAGAUAGCUUAGAGAGGGGCCUCUCGAGGAAAAUGCAGAAACAGCCGGAGCAGGCUUUACAUCAAUACGUGUUCCCUGGAAACUGAGGCUGACUUUUGGUUUAGCACUUUUGGUUGCAUAGUCUAUCACUUGUUUCCCUUCCUUGGUGCUAAUCACAACUCCAGGAUUUGGAAAAAAAUUGGAUGACAAUACAUCUGGAUCAUCAGAAAUAUAGAUGGCUCCUCCAAAUUUCGACUCUGAGAUAGCCGCCAUUUGGUCCUCUACUUCUACUGCAUUACUAAAACAAAUCAUAAUGCUACGUCCACCAUUAGGGACUUUGGCUAAUACAUCAGAUGAAUCACAAGGUGAUAUACUUUCGUUGUAAAGCACUGGAAAAUUCUUGAUGAUGGUUUUCACUGGAAACAAGCUAAAUCCAGUAAUAUUUACGCCAUUCCCAAGAGUUAAAGUCCCAUAGAAUGCUCGAUCAGUACUGCAUGACGCCACAGUAAAGAUCCAAGGGACACCAUUAUUUAUAGUUCCCAUUUCAGGGCCACUAUUUCCAGCUGAAGCAGAGAUUAAGACACCUUUCAUCAUGGCACCAAAAGAAGCUAUCGCAAUUGAAUCUUGAUACACUGGAAUCCUAACCCACCCAUAAGAAAUAGUUAUUAUGUCAACACCAUCUGCAACAGCUUGAUCCAUUGCAGCAAUUAAAUCAGAAGUGAAGGUUCCUUCCUCAAAGCUAAACUUAUACACAGCUAUCCUAGCUCGUGGCGCCAUACCUCUUGCUGUUCCAGUAGCAUAUCCAAAAUAUGAAGCGCCUUUAGCAAAAUUACCAGCAGCAAUGGAGGCAACAUGUGUUCCAUGACCUCUAGUAUCCCUUGCAGAAUUCAUUGAAAUAUUCACAGUAGGAUUAUCAGCCAAAAUCCCUUUGUUGAAAUAAUUAGCCCCAAUGAUUUUCCUGUUACACAAUGAAGAAUUAAAAUCUGUUCCUGCCUUGCAAAUUCCCUUCCACCUUUUUGGAAUUUCAGGCAAUCCAUCUUCACUGAAACUAGCAGAUUCUGGCCAGACACCAGAGUCGAGUACACCGAUGAUAACAUCUUGACCAAAACCAGAAGCUGGCCAUAGUCCAGAUGCAGGAUUGAGCUUAAGAAACUCUGAGGUAUGAGUUGUGUGAGCUUCAACACUCCUAUCUUUAUAAGCUGAAAGGAAACCUGCCGAUUUCUCGAGCAAUUCAAGCUCAUGUUUAGACAAAACAGCACUGAAUCCAUGGAUGACAUUGUCA